AGCGAACGCUGGCGGCAGGCCUAACACAUGCAAGUCGAACGAACCUUUCUGGUUUAGUGGCGGAAGGGUGAGUAACACGUUGGAACGUUCCUUUAGGUUCGGAAUCACUCAGUGAAACUUGUUCUAAUACCCCAUGUGCCCUUCGGGGGAAAGAUUAAUCGCCUUUAGAGCGGCCCGCGUCUGAUUAGCUAGUUGGUUGAGGUAAUGGCUCACCAAGGCGACGAUCAGUAGCUGGUCUGAGAGGAUGAUCAGCCACAUUGGGACUGAGACACGGCCCAAACUCCUACGGGAGGGAGGAGUGGGGAAACUUGCGAAAUGGGAGAAAGCCUGACGCAGCCAUGCCGCGUGAAUGAUGAAGGUCUUAGGAGUGUAAAAUUCUUUCACCGGGGACGAUAAUGACGGUACCCGGAGAAGAAGCCCCGGCUAACUUCGUG
Molecule: ribosomal RNA, 434 nt
Filed under: uncultured bacterium
Lineage: Bacteria
Description: partial 16S ribosomal RNA
Rfam family: Bacterial small subunit ribosomal RNA
Source: RNAcentral